RNAcentral lists this ribosomal RNA (424 nucleotides) under uncultured prokaryote. RNAcentral describes it as "bacterial SSU rRNA". It matches the Rfam family "Bacterial small subunit ribosomal RNA", at positions 355 to 796 of the family's 1533-position model. The record is from RNAcentral.
UGGGGAAUAUUGGACAAUGGGGGAAACCCUGAUCCAGCCAUGCCGCGUGAGUGAUGAAGGCCCUAGGGUUGUAAAGCUCUUUCGGCGGGGAAGAUGAUGACGGUACCCGCAGAAGAAGCCCCGGCUAACUCCGUGCCAGCAGCCGCGGUAAUACGGAGGGGGCUAGCGUUGUUCGGAAUUACUGGGCGUAAAGGGCGCGUAGGCGGCCUGGCAAGUUAGGGGUGAAAGGCCCGGGCUCAACCUGGGAACGGCCUCUAAAACUGCCGGGCUGGAGUCCGGGAGAGGGUGACGGAAUUCCCAGUGUAGAGGUGAAAUUCGUAGAUAUUGGGAAGAACACCGGUGGCGAAGGCGGUCACCUGGCCCGGGACUGACGCUGAGGCGCGAAAGCGUGGGGAGCAAACAGGAUUAGAUACCCCCGUAGUCC